Molecule: ribosomal RNA, 497 nt
Filed under: uncultured bacterium
Lineage: Bacteria
Description: partial 16S ribosomal RNA
Rfam family: Bacterial small subunit ribosomal RNA
Source: RNAcentral
GACGAACGCUGGCGGCGUGCCUAAUACAUGCAAGUAGAACGCUGAAGAGAGGAGCUUACUCUUCUUGGAUGAGUUGCGAACGGGUGAGUAACGCGUAGGUAACCUGCCUUGUAGCGGGGGAUAACUAUUGGAAACGAUAGCUAAUACCGCAUAACAAUGGAUGACACAUGUCAUUUAUUUGAAAGGGGCAAUUGCUCCACUACAAGAUGGACCUGCGUUGUAUUAGCUAGUAGGUGAGGUAAUGGCUCACCUAGGCGACGAUACAUAGCCGACCUGAGAGGGUGGUCGGCCACCCUGGGACUGAGACACGGCCCAGACGCCUACGGGAAGCAGCCAGAGGGAAUCGUCGGGAAUGGGGGCAACCCUGACCGAGCAACGCCGCGUGAGUGAAGAAGGGUUUCGGGUCGGAAAGCUCUGUUGUAAGUCAAGAACGGGUGUGAGAGUGGAAAGUUCACACUGUGACGGUAGCUUACCAGAAAGGGACGGCUAACUACGUG